CCCUUAGAUGUUCUGGGCCGCACGCGCGCUACAAUGGUCUUCGCAAACGGAUGCAUUCUCGAAGGAGAAUGCCAAUCUUGGAAUCUAUGCCUUGGUCGGGACAGUUGCUUGCAAUUUUUCGACUCGAACCAGGAAUUCCUUGUAAUCGUGAUUCAUUACAUCACGAUGAAUACGUCCCUGCCCUUUGUACACACCGCCCGUCGCUCCUACCGAUCGAAGAGUUAGGUGAAUUGUUUUGAUCGAUAAGAUUUGACUAUGGUCAACUCUCGUUGUGAAAUUCUGUGAAUCUGACUGUUUAGAGGAAGGAAAAGUCGUAACA
Molecule: ribosomal RNA, 319 nt
Filed under: uncultured eukaryote
Lineage: Eukaryota
Description: partial 18S ribosomal RNA
Rfam family: Eukaryotic small subunit ribosomal RNA
Source: RNAcentral